This 66-nucleotide transfer RNA is filed under the name bovine gut metagenome. It matches the Rfam family "tRNA". From Rfam's summary of the family: Transfer RNA (tRNA) molecules are approximately 80 nucleotides in length. Their secondary structure includes four short double-helical elements and three loops (D, anti-codon, and T loops). Further hydrogen bonds mediate the characteristic L-shaped molecular structure. tRNAs have two regions of fundamental functional importance: the anti-codon, which is responsible for specific mRNA codon recognition, and the 3' end, to which the tRNAs corresponding amino acid is attached (by aminoacyl-tRNA synthetases). tRNAs cope with the degeneracy of the genetic code in two manners: having more than one tRNA (with a specific anti-codon) for a particular amino acid; and 'wobble' base-pairing, i.e. permitting non-standard base-pairing at the 3rd anti-codon position. The record is from RNAcentral.
GGCAUAGCUCAGCUGGUAGAGCAGCGGUCUCCAAAACCGCGUGUCCUGGGUUCGAAUCCUAGUACC